Molecule: long non-coding RNA, 542 nt
Organism: Hyposmocoma kahamanoa
Lineage: Eukaryota; Metazoa; Arthropoda; Insecta; Lepidoptera; Cosmopterigidae
Exons: 3
Source: RefSeq, a predicted model, not a curated record
AAAUUUUGCCGGUUAAAGACGUCAAUACAAAAUCACGUUCUUUAACGUAAUUUUAUAGUAAAUAUAGCAUUUACAACGUUUUUGGUUUUAUCUCUCAGUUCUGCGUGCAAUUUGUCACUGUCAUGGUGCUGCAAUAAUUAUUUUCAAGAAUUUUGAAGUGAUACUGUCGACUUCCAGCAAUCCUACUGAAUACUAGGGGAACUAAAGAACAAGGCUUAAUAUAUCCACCUGCUGCCACACACACUACGAAAAUGAAAGUGCCCCAAGUCUUCCUAAUAAUUAUGCUAAUUGAAUAUUGUACAUCAAUGCCUGGAUCAUACAAGAUGGCUAUGAGAGUUAAAGUAGUGCAGCCGAAGAAUACCGCGCAUCUUUCUUCGUCGUCAGUGCCUAAGAAACAGAAGACAUUUUUAGGCGUUGAUCUUCAUCAAAUUGUAAAGAGAAAUGAAGGAAGUAUUUCUGAAAGGAACGUCCCUGAUGUCCGAAGACUAGUAACAAAAAUUUCAAGUAAAGCAACCAAGUCCUUCGCUACAAGAAACGUAGAA